CCUACGGGUGACUGCAGUGAGGAAUAGUGGUCAAUGGACGAGAGUCUGAACCAGCCAAGUAGCGUGAAGGAUGACUGCCCUAUGGGUUGUAAACUUCUUUUAUAUGGGAAUAAAAUGUUCCACGUGUGGGAUUUUGUAUGUACCAUAUGAAUAAGGAUCGGCUAACUUCGUGCCAGCAGCCGCGGUAAUACGGAGGAUCCGAGCGUUAUCCGGAUUUAUUGGGUUUAAAGGGAGCGUGGGUGGAUUGUUAAGUCAGUUGUGAAAGUUUGCGGCUCAACCGUAAAAUUGCAGUUGAAACUGGCAGUCUUGAGUACAGUAGAGGUGGGCGGAAUUCGUGGUGUAGCGGUGAAAUGCUUAGAUAUCACGAAGAACUCCGAUUGCGAAGGCAGUUCACUGGACUGCAACUGACACUGAGGCUCGAAAGUGUGGGUAUCAAACAGGAUUAGAUACCCCAGUAGUC
RNAcentral lists this ribosomal RNA (460 nucleotides) under uncultured bacterium. RNAcentral describes it as "partial 16S ribosomal RNA". It matches the Rfam family "Bacterial small subunit ribosomal RNA", at positions 338 to 795 of the family's 1533-position model. The record is from RNAcentral.